CGCAAUGGACGAAAGUCUGACGCAGCAACGCCGCGUGAGGGAUGACGGCCUUCGGGUUGUAAACCUCUUUUGUCAGGGACGAUGAUGACGGUACCUGACGAAUAAGCCACGGCUAACUACGUGCCAGCAGCCGCGGUAAUACGUAGGUGGCAAGCGUUGUCCGGAUUUACUGGGCGUAAAGAGCGCGCAGGCGGUCGUUCAAGUCGCGUGUGAAAGCCCCCGGCUCAACUGGGGAGGGUCACGCGAUACUGAUCGACUCGAAGGCAGGAGAGGGUAGUGGAAUUCUCGGUGUAGUGGUGAAAUGCGUAGAUAUCGGGAGGAACACCAGUGGCGAAGGCGACUACCUGGCCUGUUUCUUGACGCUGAGGCGCGAAAGCUAGGGGAGCAAACGGGAUUAGAUACCCCGGUAGUCCUAGCCGUAAACGAUGGACACUAGGUGUUGGUGGUAUCAACCCCGCCAGUGCCGAAGCUAACGCAUUAAGUGUCCCGCCGUGGGGAGUACGGCCGCAAGGACUA
This 516-nucleotide ribosomal RNA is filed under the name uncultured Acidobacteriota bacterium. RNAcentral describes it as "bacterial SSU rRNA". It matches the Rfam family "Bacterial small subunit ribosomal RNA", at positions 367 to 897 of the family's 1533-position model. Lineage: Bacteria; Pseudomonadati; Acidobacteriota. The record is from RNAcentral.